AGUGAACGCUGGCGGUAGGCCUAACACAUGCAAGUCGAACGGCAGCACAGUAAGAGCUUGCUCUUAUGGGUGGCGAGUGGCGGACGGGUGAGGAAUACAUCGGAAUCUACUUUUUCGUGGGGGAUAACGUAGGGAAACUUACGCUAAUACCGCAUACGACCUACGGGUGAAAGCAGGGGAUCUUCGGACCUUACGCGAUUGAAUGAGCCGAUGUCGGAUUAGCUAGUUGGCGGGGUAAAGGCCCACCAAGGCGACGAUCCGUAGCUGGUCUGAGAGGAUGAUCAGCCACACUGGAACUGAGACACGGUCCAGACUCCUACGAGAGGCAGCAGUGGGGAAUAUUGGACAAUGGGCGCAAGCCUGAUCCAGCCAUACCGCGUGGGUGAAGAAGGCCUUCGGGUUGUAAAGCCCUUUUGUUGGGAAAGAAAAGCAGCAGGUUAAUACCCCGCUGUUCUGACGGUACCCAAAGAAUAAGCACCGGCUAACUUCGUG
Molecule: ribosomal RNA, 492 nt
Filed under: uncultured bacterium
Lineage: Bacteria
Description: partial 16S ribosomal RNA
Rfam family: Bacterial small subunit ribosomal RNA
Source: RNAcentral